Molecule: small RNA, 127 nt
Filed under: Marmota monax (woodchuck)
Lineage: Eukaryota; Metazoa; Chordata; Mammalia; Rodentia; Sciuridae
Source: RNAcentral
GCCAGGCGGGGUGGUGCAUGCCUGUAAUCCCAGCUGCUCGGGAGGCAAAGGCAGGAGGAUUAUGAGUUCAAAGCUAGCCACAGCAAUUUAGUGAGGCACUAAGCAACUCAGUGAGACUCUGUCUCUA